GCGCACUCUUCGGAGUGAGCGGCGGACGGGUUAGUAACGCGUGGGAACAUACCUUUCGGUAAGGAAUAGCCACUGGAAACGGUGAGUAAUACCUUAUACGCCCUUCGGGGGAAAGAUUUAUCGCCGAGAGAUUGGCCCGCGUUAGAUUAGAUAGUUGGUGGGGUAACGGCCUACCAAGUCUACGAUCUAUAGCUGGUUUUAGAGGAUGAUCAGCAACACUGGGACUGAGACACGGCCCAGACUCCUACGGGAGGCAGCAGUGGGGAAUCUUGGACAAUGGGCGCAAGCCUGAUCCAGCCAUGCCGCGUGAGUGAUGAAGGCCUUAGGGUCGUAAAGCUCUUUCGCCAGAGAUGAUAAUGACAGUAUCUGGUAAAGAAACCCCGGCUAACUCCGUGCCAGCAGCCGCGGUAAUACGGAGGGGGUUAGCGUUGUUCGGAAUUACUGGGCGUAAAGCGUACGUAGGCGGACCAUUAAGUUGGGGGUGAAAUCCCGGGGCUCAACCCCGGAACUGCCUCCAAAACUGCUGGUCUUGAGUUCGAGAGAGGUGAGUGGAAUUCCGAGUGUAGAGGUGAAAUUCGUAGAUAUUCGGAGGAACACCAGUGGCGAAGGCGGCUCA
RNAcentral lists this ribosomal RNA (616 nucleotides) under uncultured bacterium. RNAcentral's name for it is "bacterial SSU rRNA". It matches the Rfam family "Bacterial small subunit ribosomal RNA", at positions 66 to 728 of the family's 1533-position model. The record is from RNAcentral.